This is a non-coding RNA of Pteropus alecto (black flying fox), 119 nucleotides long. Lineage: Eukaryota; Metazoa; Chordata; Mammalia; Chiroptera; Pteropodidae. The record is from Rfam.
GUCUAUGGCCAUGCCACCCUGAACAAGCUCGAUCCUGUCUGAUCUCGGAAGCUAAGCAGGGUCGGGCCUGGUUAAUACUUGGAUGGGAGACCACCUAGGAAGAUCAGGUGCUGUAGCCA